AGAGUUUGAUCCUGGCUCAGGAUGAACGCUGGCGGUAUGCUUAACACAUGCAAGUCGAACGAAAUCUUCGGAUUUAGUGGCGGACGGGUGAGUAACGCGUGAGAAUCUGGCUCUAGGUCUGGGACAACCACUGGAAACGGUGGCUAAUACCGGAUGUGCCCUUGGGUGAAAGGUUAACUGCCUAGAGAUGAGCUCGCGUCUGAUUAGCUAGUAGGUAGUGUAAUGGACUACCUAGGCGACGAUCAGUAGCUGGUCUGAGAGGACGAUCAGCCACACUGGGACUGAGACACGGCCCAGACUCCUACGGGAGGCAGCAGUGGGGAAUUUUCCGCAAUGGGCGAAAGCCUGACGGAGCAAUACCGCGUGAGGGAGGAAGGCUCUUGGGUCGUAAACCUCUUUUCUCAGGGAAGAACACAAUGACGGUACCUGAGGAAUAAGCAUCGGCUAACUCCGUGCCAGCAGCCGCGGUAAUACGGAGGAUGCAAGCGUUAUCCGGAAUGAUUGGGCGUAAAGCGUCCGCAGGUGGCAAUGUAAGUCUGCUGUUAAAGAGUCUAGCUCAACUAGAUAAAGGCAGUGGAAACUACAUAGCUAGAGUACGUUCGGGGCAGAGGGAAUUCCUGGUGUAGCGGUGAAAUGCGUAGAGAUCAGGAAGAACACCGGUGGCGAAGGCGCUCUGCUAGGCCGUAACUGACACUGAGGGACGAAAGCUAGGGGAGCGAAUGGGAUUAGAUACCCCAGUAGUCCUAGCCGUAAACGAUGGAUACUAGGCGUGGCUUGUAUCGACCCGAGCCGUGCCGUAGCUAACGCGUUAAGUAUCCCGCCUGGGGAGUACGCCGGCAACGGUGAAACUCAAAGGAAUUGACGG
RNAcentral lists this ribosomal RNA (865 nucleotides) under uncultured soil bacterium. RNAcentral describes it as "bacterial SSU rRNA". It matches the Rfam family "Bacterial small subunit ribosomal RNA", at positions 8 to 916 of the family's 1533-position model. The record is from RNAcentral.